AGCGUACACGGUGGAUGCCCUGGCAGUCAGAGGCGAUGAAGGACGUGCUAAUCUGCGAUAAGCGUCGGUAAGGUGAUAUGAACCGUUAUAACCGGCGAUUUCCGAAUGGGGAAACCCAGUGUGUUUCGACACACUAUCAUUAACUGAAUCCAUAGGUUAAUGAGGCGAACCGGGGGAACUGAAACAUCUAAGUACCCCGAGGAAAAGAAAUCAACCGAGAUUCCCCCAGUAGCGGCGAGCGAACGGGGAGCAGCCCAGAGCCUGAAUCAGUGUGUGUGUUAGUGGAAGCGUCUGGAAAGGCGCGCGAUACAGGGUGACAGCCCCGUACACAAAAAUGCACAUGCUGUGAGCUCGAUGAGUAGGGCGGGACACGUGGUAUCCUGUCUGAAUAUGGGGGGACCAUCCUCCAAGGCUAAAUACUCCUGACUGACCGAUAGUGAACCAGUACCGUGAGGGAAAGGCGAAAAGAACCCCGGCGAGGGGAGUGAAAAAGAACCUGAAACCGUGUACGUACAAGCAGUGGGAGCACGCUUAGGCGUGUGACUGCGUACCUUUUGUAUAAUGGGUCAGCGACUUAUAUUCUGUAGCAAGGUUAACCGAAUAGGGGAGCCGAAGGGAAACCGAGUCUUAACUGGGCGUUAAGUUGCAGGGUAUAGACCCGAAACCCGGUGAUCUAGCCAUGGGCAGGUUGAAGGUUGGGUAACACUAACUGGAGGACCGAACCGACUAAUGUUGAAAAAUUAGCGGAUGACUUGUGGCUGGGGGUGAAAGGCCAAUCAAACCGGGAGAUAGCUGGUUCUCCCCGAAAGCUAUUUAGGUAGCGCCUCGUGAAUUCAUCUCCGGGGGUAGAGCACUGUUUCGGCAAGGGGGUCAUCCCGACUUACCAACCCGAUGCAAACUGCGAAUACCGGAGAAUGUUAUCACGGGAGACACACGGCGGGUGCUAACGUCCGUCGUGAAGAGGGAAACAACCCAGACCGCCAGCUAAGGUCCCAAAGUCAUGGUUAAGUGGGAAACGAUGUGGGAAGGCCCAGACAGCCAGGAUGUUGGCUUAGAAGCAGCCAUCAUUUAAAGAAAGCGUAAUAGCUCACUGGUCGAGUCGGCCUGCGCGGAAGAUGUAACGGGGCUAAACCAUGCACCGAAGCUGCGGCAGCGACGCUUAUGCGUUGUUGGGUAGGGGAGCGUUCUGUAAGCCUGCGAAGGUGUGCUGUGAGGCAUGCUGGAGGUAUCAGAAGUGCGAAUGCUGACAUAAGUAACGAUAAAGCGGGUGAAAAGCCCGCUCGCCGGAAGACCAAGGGUUCCUGUCCAACGUUAAUCGGGGCAGGGUGAGUCGACCCCUAAGGCGAGGCCGAAAGGCGUAGUCGAUGGGAAACAGGUUAAUAUUCCUGUACUUGGUGUUACUGCGAAGGGGGGACGGAGAAGGCUAUGUUGGCCGGGCGACGGUUGUCCCGGUUUAAGCGUGUAGGCUGGUUUUCCAGGCAAAUCCGGAAAAUCAAGGCUGAGGCGUGAUGACGAGGCACUACGGUGCUGAAGCAACAAAUGCCCUGCUUCCAGGAAAAGCCUCUAAGCAUCAGGUAACAUCAAAUCGUACCCCAAACCGACACAGGUGGUCAGGUAGAGAAUACCAAGGCGCUUGAGAGAACUCGGGUGAAGGAACUAGGCAAAAUGGUGCCGUAACUUCGGGAGAAGGCACGCUGAUAUGUAGGUGAAGCGACUUGCUCGUGGAGCUGAAAUCAGUCGAAGAUACCAGCUGGCUGCAACUGUUUAUUAAAAACACAGCACUGUGCAAACACGAAAGUGGACGUAUACGGUGUGACGCCUGCCCGGUGCCGGAAGGUUAAUUGAUGGGGUUAGCGCAAGCGAAGCUCUUGAUCGAAGCCCCGGUAAACGGCGGCCGUAACUAUAACGGUCCUAAGGUAGCGAAAUUCCUUGUCGGGUAAGUUCCGACCUGCACGAAUGGCGUAAUGAUGGCCAGGCUGUCUCCACCCGAGACUCAGUGAAAUUGAACUCGCUGUGAAGAUGCAGUGUACCCGCGGCAAGACGGAAAGACCCCGUGAACCUUUACUAUAGCUUGACACUGAACAUUGAGCCUUGAUGUGUAGGAUAGGUGGGAGGCUUUGAAGUGUGGACGCCAGUCUGCAUGGAGCCGACCUUGAAAUACCACCCUUUAAUGUUUGAUGUUCUAACGUUGACCCGUAAUCCGGGUUGCGGACAGUGUCUGGUGGGUAGUUUGACUGGGGCGGUCUCCUCCUAAAGAGUAACGGAGGAGCACGAAGGUUGGCUAAUCCUGGUCGGACAUCAGGAGGUUAGUGCAAUGGCAUAAGCCAGCUUGACUGCGAGCGUGACGGCGCGAGCAGGUGCGAAAGCAGGUCAUAGUGAUCCGGUGGUUCUGAAUGGAAGGGCCAUCGCUCAACGGAUAAAAGGUACUCCGGGGAUAACAGGCUGAUACCGCCCAAGAGUUCAUAUCGACGGCGGUGUUUGGCACCUCGAUGUCGGCUCAUCACAUCCUGGGGCUGAAGUAGGUCCCAAGGGUAUGGCUGUUCGCCAUUUAAAGUGGUACGCGAGCUGGGUUUAGAACGUCGUGAGACAGUUCGGUCCCUAUCUGCCGUGGGCGCUGGAGAACUGAGGGGGGCUGCUCCUAGUACGAGAGGACCGGAGUGGACGCAUCACUGGUGCC
RNAcentral lists this ribosomal RNA (2677 nucleotides) under soil metagenome. Its description in RNAcentral is "bacterial LSU rRNA". It matches the Rfam family "Bacterial large subunit ribosomal RNA". The record is from RNAcentral.